This 618-nucleotide ribosomal RNA is filed under the name Triticum aestivum (bread wheat). Its description in RNAcentral is "partial small subunit ribosomal RNA". The record is from RNAcentral. Lineage: Eukaryota; Viridiplantae; Streptophyta; Magnoliopsida; Poales; Poaceae.
GAGUGGAAGAGUGGGGAGGGGGAGGAUGUGGACCUACAAUCAGCGGCGAAGUCUGUGGACACGUAAAUAGGUUGUUAGUCUCCUUUUUUGUGGUAGCAGAGAAUGGAGAGGGAUGAGUCGAAGAUUAGGGGUAAGAGGUUGGUACCGUCCGCGAGUGGAAGAGCGGGGAGGGGGAGGUGGAGGUUCGCGGAGUGGGUCGCCAAGGAGUUGUCGGGCGUCGACAGCGAGUUCAACGAAGGCGAAGAGAGGAGGACGGAGGGGGGAACUACGGCAGGCGGCGGCUGGCCUGGACCUACUUGCUCGUGCAGGAGUUGCGGUUCGUCCGCGUCACGAGAUCGUCAGACCGGAGGAGCCGCAGCUGCGUCAGACGUAGGUAGAUCAUGAUGUAGGUGGUUCUCAAGAUUUCUUGUCUCCUUCUAAGGACACGAACCUCAACUCAGUACACUAACAAGUCUAAAAAUUUCUGUACACGACGACGUACUACACGUGGCCCCUAUUCCUUUUUUUCUCUUCCGACAAGUCCACUGCUCCUUUGGUUUACCCUGCACCACGAUCCGGAGUUACUUAGGUUUUUCUCGAGUUACCACACAACAUAUAAGCAGACAACAAACUCUAUCU